UACGAAGGGGGCUAGCGUUGUUCGGAAUUACUGGGCGUAAAGCGCACGUAGGCGGAUUGUUAAGUCAGAGGUGAAAUCCCGGAGCUCAACUUCGGAACUGCCUUUGAUACUGGCAAUCUAGAGUCCGGAAGAGGUUAGUGGAAUUCCUAGUGUAGAGGUGAAAUUCGUAGAUAUUCGCAAGAACACCAGUGGCGAAGGCGGCCGACUGGUCCGGUUCUGACGCUGAGGCGCGAAAGCGUGGGGAGCAAACAGG
RNAcentral lists this ribosomal RNA (253 nucleotides) under uncultured bacterium. Its description in RNAcentral is "partial 16S ribosomal RNA". It matches the Rfam family "Bacterial small subunit ribosomal RNA", at positions 524 to 776 of the family's 1533-position model. The record is from RNAcentral.